UCGACGACAUGCUCCGUCCAUGAUUUUCCACCCACCAGGGUACUCCUACCGGUGAAUCUCGCCGCUGCAAGGCCGUAGGGGGGCCACGCAGCGCUGCGAGUUCCACUCCCUCCCUCCCUGCUCCCUUCUCCCAUCCUUCAUGGAUCCCAAGACCAUGCUGGGCACUUGCUGUGAGGCGUGCUGCGACGUUGCCGCCGUGCUUGCAAGCCGGUGCGACACCGCCGUCGUGCUGCGACAGUCCGCGGCAAGGUUGUUGGGAGCCGCUGCUGCGAGUGGCGCCAGCCGACGAUGCUUGCAACAGGUGGUGCUGCGACGGCACCGUCGUGCUCCGACGACAUCUCGGCUACAACGACGUUACUGUGAUGGAUUUUGCGAUGGUUGCUGCGACGACGUUGUCGUGCUCCGACGACAUCGACAAAUGCUGCGACGGAUGUUGUUUCGGUGGCUCGGGCUACUCUGACGAUGCUACGACGGCGUGCUGCGACGGCGCCACUGUGCUGUGAGCCGGUGGCCAUGCCACCGGAGUUGCUGUGACGGCGGAGUGCCUGUGAGCUGAUGUUGCCGGCGUCCUGUGAUGCACUGGAGUUUGCUACGCAUGCGAGAAAUGUGUGUGCGACGUUCUGCAACGAGAAGAAAGAAGAGAGAAGACUAUGUUACGUUGACUUGCAUCGAAAGGCUAGGAAAGUCCAGAUCGUAUGGUCCAGAAGUUGUUUUGCUUUCCUGCAUCCGGAUGCCGCCUAGCAGCGGCCAAACCUAGCCCUCCUCUGUACCGCCACCCGACCUGCGCGCCGCCACCCCCGACCUGCGCACCGCCGGCAGUCCGGCACAACCCGCCCGCCGGUCCCCUCGCACCACCACCGACCCCCGGUCGCUUAGCCCGCAGUAGCAGAAGCGCCGUCCGCGACGGAGGAGCAUCGUCCGCCACCGAGGAGCAGCAGCGCCAUCCGCCGCCAAGGAUCCCCCGCGCCGGGAAGCAGCAGGACCGUCCGCCCAAGGAUCGGCGGCCCCGACGGCUUCUGAGGAGCCGCCCGCCAUUCUUCUUCCAACAUAGGCAACGUCUGUCCCGGUUGACUCCAGUUACCUAGCACCUCCUCCAGAUCUUAACUGGAAGGAAAGGCUAUGUUGUCUUAACAAGGAUGAAAAGUAUAACAACAUACACAAACCAACGUGGACAACCCAGAUCUGGACAGAUGGGACCUGGAAGAUACACCAGAAACAGAAGAAAAAGUUCUCAAAAUUGCGAAAGAGCGAUAUAGAGGCUGGCGAUCAAAUGUAAGCUCCACUUACAAGGCAUACAAAACAGAUGCAGCUAGAUUGGCUAAUCUCCCGGAAGAUUUACAAUCACAAGAGUGGGAAUGGAUGAUUGACUACUUUGUCACUGAUUCAUAAUUUCAGGAACGCAGCUGAAAGAGCACUGGUAAUCGUAAGAAAUAGAAGACAACACACAGAAUUGGAUCAAAACCUUACUCGCAACUAAGUUUUGAGAAGGUAUGAGUGUAACUAAAUAUGUAUGCCUCGUUGCUAACUAUGGUUUCAUGUUUCAAGCAUCUCAUUGCUAUAUUACUUGCGAGAAACUUGGAAACUGGAGAAGAGCCGGAUUGGAUUGCUCUAUGGGAACACACCCACACAAAGAAUGGAACAUGGUCUAACAGAGUCCCAGGAUGUCUAUGAUCCAAAGAACUAGCUCGACUGGACUCUAGAUCACAGACAAUUUAGUCUUGGCACUUAAUUAGGAUGGCUAAAUUACAUUUGAGUUUCAUUUGAUUGAUAUUUGCCAUGAGAAUUAUGAAUUUUAUGAAUCUACAUAUUAUACGUAUGGUUUUGAAUAUUGUAAUUAAAUGCUUGUAUUUUUUUUAGGUUGCAAUAGGCUAUUGCCACAACCCACUUUUGGUUGCCACAUAUUAGCACCACGAAAAUUUAAAUUGUCGCAAUAGUUU
Triticum dicoccoides is the source of this 1937-nucleotide long non-coding RNA. RefSeq lists it as uncharacterized. The record is from RefSeq and is a predicted model, not a curated record. The transcript has 5 exons. NCBI's taxonomy places the organism in Eukaryota, Viridiplantae, Streptophyta, Magnoliopsida, Poales, Poaceae.